Molecule: ribosomal RNA, 412 nt
Filed under: uncultured microorganism
Description: bacterial SSU rRNA
Rfam family: Archaeal small subunit ribosomal RNA
Source: RNAcentral
CAGCCGCCUCGGUAAUACCAACCCCGCGAGUGGUCGGGACGUUUAUUGGGCCUAAAGCGUCCGUAGCCGGCCCGGUAAGUCCCUCCUUAAAGCCCACGGCUCAACCGUGGGAGCGGAGGGAUACUGCCGGGCUAGGGGGCGGGAGAGGCCGGGGGUACUCCUGGGGUAGGGGCGAAAUCCUAUAAUCCCAGGAGGACCACCAGUGGCGAAGGCGCCCGGCUAGCACGCGCCCGACGGUGAGGGACGAAAGCUGGGGGAGCAAAGGGGAUUAGAUACCCCCGUAGUCCCAGCUGUAAACGAUGCAGGCUAGGUGUUAGGCGGGCUUCGUGCCCGCCUAGUGCCGUAGGGAAGCCGUUAAGCCUGCCGCCUGGGGAGUACGGCCGCAAGGCUGAAACUUAAAGGAAUUGGCGGG